GUGGGGAAUUUUGGACAAUGGGCGCAAGCCUGAUCCAGCAAUGCCGCGUGCAGGAUGAAGGCCUUCGGGUUGUAAACUGCUUUUGUACGGAACGAAAAGCCCUGGGUUAAUACCCUGGGGUCAUGACGGUACCGUAAGAAUAAGCACCGGCUAACUACGUGCCAGCAGCCGCGGUAAUACGUAGGGUGCGAGCGUUAAUCGGAAUUACUGGGCGUAAAGCGUGCGCAGGCGGUUUUGUAAGACAGAGGUGAAAUCCCCGGGCUCAACCUGGGAACUGCUUUUGUGACUGCAAGGCUAGAGUACGGAAGAGGGGGAUGGAAUUCCGCGUGUAGCAGUGAAAUGCGUAGAUAUGCGGAGGACCACCGAUGGCGAAGGCAAUCCCCUGGGCCUGUACUGACGCUCAUGCACGAAAGCGUGGGGAGCAAACAGGAUUAGAAACCCCAGUAGUCC
RNAcentral lists this ribosomal RNA (450 nucleotides) under uncultured bacterium. RNAcentral's name for it is "bacterial SSU rRNA". It matches the Rfam family "Bacterial small subunit ribosomal RNA", at positions 354 to 796 of the family's 1533-position model. The record is from RNAcentral.